Molecule: long non-coding RNA, 516 nt
Organism: Vidua macroura (Pin-tailed whydah)
Lineage: Eukaryota; Metazoa; Chordata; Aves; Passeriformes; Viduidae
Exons: 2
Source: RefSeq, a predicted model, not a curated record
CAGGACUUGGGCUGCAGAAAGACGUGGUCCCAGGGACAGAGCACUCUUUUCCUCUCCUCUCAAAAAGGGAGAGGCAGGUGGAGAGGAAGAUGUGUCCCUUCUGCACUCCCUCUUCUGCAAGGGUGCCCAGGAGACUGAGGAAAGGCAACAGGCUGAUCAAAACCAGGACACCAGGACGGCCUCUGGACAUCAAUUCCAAACCUGGGCUUGCCACUACAAACUACCUGCAAAAAUUGUGGACAUCAAGGAUAACCCAACAGCAACCUGGCCCAGCAGCUGUGUGUGAAUGUCCUGCCCAUGCCCGUGCAGCCUCUCAGGGCACAGCUAAGGCUUGUUGCCACCCUGGUGAGAAGGAAUCUGCAGUCAAACCAGCCCAGACCCAAGUGAGCAGCCCAAAGCCGUCUGUGAGGAACAGAGCAGCCAUGAUCAGAUGGAAUGAUCUGAGCAGAUCACAGAAUCAUAUCAUGGAAUAGUUUGGGUUGGAAGGGUCCUUAAUGAAAAUCUAGUUCCACCCCA